Molecule: transfer RNA, 77 nt
Filed under: Actinoplanes lutulentus
Lineage: Bacteria; Bacillati; Actinomycetota; Actinomycetes; Micromonosporales; Micromonosporaceae
Description: tRNA-Cys
Source: RNAcentral
GGCGGGUUCCUGGUGGAGCCACCCGUCUGCAAAACGGGUUCCCGGGAGGGCGACCGGUUCGAUUCCGGCCUUGGCCU